This 1022-nucleotide long non-coding RNA is filed under the name Medicago truncatula (barrel medic). RNAcentral describes it as "long non-coding RNA (MTRU_LNC007453)". Lineage: Eukaryota; Viridiplantae; Streptophyta; Magnoliopsida; Fabales; Fabaceae. The record is from RNAcentral.
CAUAUUGUACUUUACUGUCAACCACUAACAUCUAAUAAAAUCCAUUCAUCUUCUUCCCUCAUCUCUUCCUUCAUUUCUUAAUGAUCUUUAACAACAACUUCAUCAAUAAAAUCCAGAAAAUUCCAAAAAAAUAAAAAUAAAUAAACAUAUUCUUUAAUCACUAUACAAUCAUAAUUGUCAUCUUCAUCUAUCAUUAUCAACUCCCUUCUUCCUAAAUAUUAUUCUUCAUCUUCAUACAAAAAAAAAAUCCAAAAUUAAAAACUGAAAUUAUGUUUUUAAAAACUCAAUCUUCAUCUUCUUGUCUCUCAAAGACCAAUAAAUUCAUCAAAAUUAGCCCGACAACAUAUAAAUUUUUAUGAAUCUGAGUUUGCAUCACUUUCUUUUGCAACCUCAUCCAUUAAUAAACCCAACUACUCAAGAAGAGAAGGGACACAAGAAGCCCCUGUUAUAACAACAAAGGCUCCCAACAGGAGGAACAACACGCUGCCAAACUAACAACAGAGCCUAUGGCAGUUGUGAACUUUCCCAAAAGCUUCAAAACAAAACCCCACAUAAACAACAACACGCUAGAGAAUACAACACAAGGCAGCCGCAAACCAAAGGAUAAAAACCAGCACCAAAAUCACCCAUCGGAAUUAUCGGAUUAAGAAUUCAAAAAAAACAAAAAAUCAGUUUCAAUUUUUUUCAAGAAGUGAUGAGUCAAGAUUUGAAUUGAAAGGUUUGAACUUUGAACAUGUUGAUGAGUUUUAAGAGGGAUUGUGGUGGUGGUGGUAUGCAUGAGUCAAGAUUAGUGUGGUGGUUUGUGUGGCUAUGAGACCCAUAAUGAAAUUGAAAAUCAUGUUCUGGAAUUUUCUUUUUCAAUCCGUUCUUGAGUUUUUGUUAAUUAAUUAUGAGAUAGAGGGGGAUAGUGGAGAGAUGAAUUGAUGUUGAAUCUUUGUUUCAUUUUUUGGUUAAAUGUUGAUUUUUUUUUUCUUCUGGAUUUUUCUUGUAUAUUGUAUGAAUUUUGUACCAAUAUGAAGAAG